Molecule: non-coding RNA, 27 nt
Filed under: Mus musculus (house mouse)
Lineage: Eukaryota; Metazoa; Chordata; Mammalia; Rodentia; Muridae
Source: RNAcentral
UAUUUUCCUUACCAAAUGGGUGCCAGU